GCUGGGUGCAGUGGCCCCCUGCCUGUAAUCCCAGCAGCUCUGGAGGCUGAGGCAGGAGGAUCAUGAGUUCAAAGCCAGCCUCAGCAAAAGUGAGGCACUAAGCAACUCAGUGAGACCCUGUCUCUA
RNAcentral lists this small RNA (126 nucleotides) under Marmota monax (woodchuck). Lineage: Eukaryota; Metazoa; Chordata; Mammalia; Rodentia; Sciuridae. The record is from RNAcentral.